RNAcentral lists this long non-coding RNA (1355 nucleotides) under Linum usitatissimum (flax). RNAcentral describes it as "long non-coding RNA (LUSI_LNC003030)". Lineage: Eukaryota; Viridiplantae; Streptophyta; Magnoliopsida; Malpighiales; Linaceae. The record is from RNAcentral.
UCUCUUUCAUUAGAGAUUUUGAGAGAAUUAGAGAAACAUUCCAAAUGAACAAUAACAUUACUAUAAACAGGAAGAAAUUAAGUUCACGGUUGAGUGCUCAAACUCCAACACAUAAUCCCCCUUUUAUAAAUACAACCCACGCAAUGCAAUAUUGCAGUGCCCAAUAAUAUUUCGAACCAAACUAAAAUCCUUAGCUUCGACGCAAUGAUGAUCCGUAGUUGUUUCUUCGGGAAGAAAAUCAGAAACAAAGAAAAGCAAAAUCAUGAUAGCAGCAGCAGCAGCAAGAUGAUGACGAUGAUGAGAAGAAUGAAAGGAAGUGUUGUGCUGAUGAAGAAGAAUGUUUUGGAGCUCACUGACUUGAAUGCUUCCCUUGUUGAUCGUCUCGACGAGCUCCUCGGCCAUAGGGUCUCUCUGCACCUCAUCAGCUCUCUUCAUGGUGAUCCUCGUACGUGACCGUCAGCUUUCUCUCUAUCUCUCUCUUCCUGCUUCGUCUUUCAUUUUCCUUCCAUUUCUUGUUUUCAAGCAUGUAAGGGAAAAAUAGUUAGCAAACAAGCAAUUGCAUGAGAGUGCACCCUACAUACAAUAAUAGUCUUCAUUUGUGGAGUAAUCCUUCGGUACAUGUGGGUAUUGUGAGUACACUUUUAUAUAAUUUUGUAUAUCUUAUGCUUAAAAUUAUGAGUUUUGAUGUUUUUGUUUAGUGUUUAGGUGUUUAAGACAAAGCUUAUUAUUCACUACUUAUUUGCAUGUUCGCAGAGAAUGAUAACAAAGGAAAGGUUGGAAAGGUAGCAUACUUGGAGAACUGGAUUCCCACAAUUGCUCCCUUAACUGCUGCUCAGACAUCCUAUAACGUCACAUUUGACUGGGAAGAGGAAGCUAUCGGGAUUCCAGGAGGGUUCCUUAUCAAGAACAACCACCACAGUGAGUUCUUCCUCAAGUCUCUCACCCUCGAAGAUGUUCCUGGUGAAGGCAGGAUGCACUUCGUCUGCAACUCCUGGGUUUAUCCUGCCAAACAAUACGAGGGAAAAAACCGUAUUUUCUUUACUAACAAGGUGGCCUAAUUAAAACCUCAUUCCUUGCUCCAAAAUUCAUAUUCGUUAAAUGAUAUUCUGAUCAGCUGUUAAACAAAUUGUAUUCGUUUCGCACAACAGACAUAUCUACCACACCAGACGCCAUUGCCACUAGUUAAGUAUAGAGAGGAAGAGUUGGUUACCUUGAGAGGAAAUGGAGAAGGGGAGCUUCAAGAAUGGGACAGGGUCUAUGACUAUGCUUGUUACAAUGAUUUGGGAGAUCCCGAUUGCAGUCCGGAGCAUGCUCGACCGACUCUUGGAGGAUCGGUUGACUUCCCAUAUCCUCGU